Molecule: long non-coding RNA, 897 nt
Organism: Conger conger (European conger)
Lineage: Eukaryota; Metazoa; Chordata; Actinopteri; Anguilliformes; Congridae
Exons: 4
Source: RefSeq, a predicted model, not a curated record
UGCUACUGGUUGGUUCAAAUAUGUUACAUUCUUAGCAGCGUAUCAUAUCAAUGAUUAUGCUAAGGAAAUUAUUUCUCAACAACUGCGAGCCAUCUGUCACGAUUUUUUUCCCAGUAGGCUACAGAGCAGGUGUACUGGAAGGAUUGUUUUACUACGAAACGGCAGCUAUACCGGUGCAUGGUGGUUGAAAUGAAUAAUUAAUUGCAGGAAGGUGUCUGUGAUGGACGCACGUGUCGAAUUUAGCAUAGUAGAUUGAUUGUAAACCUGCACCAGUGGGAAGUUCUUCUGCAUAGCACUAUGGGUUAAACGUGGAUUAACGUUAGUAAAAUCCUGUAUGCUAGGUAUAUUUAACCACAACAUAAUAUACGUUGAAACUUUACUGAAAGAAAGACGGGAAGAAUGAAUAGGCUACUUAAUCAAGGCAGCUGGUCAAUGCAAAAGACAAGUUCUACACGGUGUUCCAUAAUGUCUGGGACCUGAAAGGUGGGACACCGUGAGACUCCACAGUCAUGGCCAUUGAAAUAAAGGUCAGUCGCUCUCCCUUUGGGCUGACAUGGUGUAACACGCAUCACUCACAGGGUGCUGACAGGCCUGUCGCUUCUCUAAUGAUACCUGCUGGCCAUCAGCGUCCUGUCUCUCAACGACCUUCACGAGACGCCCUCUCAAUGACUCUCCAGCCAGGUCAACCAUCCAACCUUUAUAUGAAAACUGAUAUUGACUGGGUGAUCCAAAAGCCCCUGCUGAGUCCCUCCCUCCUAAUGUAUAAAUAUGCAUGUAACUUAUUAGUUUGUAGUUAACUUUUCACAAGUAAAUGUAUUUGUUAAUGACAUACUUAAUUCAUAUAUUUCUAGAUUAAUAAUGAAUGUUAACAACUACAUUAGUUAAUGCCAAUUCAUG